This 607-nucleotide ribosomal RNA is filed under the name uncultured bacterium. Its description in RNAcentral is "bacterial SSU rRNA". It matches the Rfam family "Bacterial small subunit ribosomal RNA", at positions 757 to 1359 of the family's 1533-position model. The record is from RNAcentral.
AAGCUAGGGAGCGAACGGGAUUAGAUACCCCGGUAGUCCUAGCUGUAAACGAUGAGCACUGGAUUGAGGGGACUUCCACAUCCUCUCGGUCGUAGCGAAAGUGUUAAGUGCUCCGCCUGGGGAGUAUUNUNGCAAGGCUGAAACUCAAAGGAAUUGACGGGGGCUCACACAAGCGGUGGAGGAUGUGGCUUAAUUCGAGGCUACGCGAAGAACCUUAUCCUGGUCUUGACAUGCUUGAGAAUCCUCUCGAAAGAGAGGGGUGCCCUUCGGGGAGCUCUUGCACAGGUGCUGCAUGGCUGUCGUCAGCUCGUGUCGUGAGAUGUCGGGUUAAGUCCCUUAACGAGCGAAACCCUUGUCCCUAGUUGCCAGCGGAUCAUGCCGGGGACUCUAGGGAGACCGCCGGUGUUAAACCGGAGGAAGGUGGGGAUGACGUCAAGUCCUCAUGGCCUUUAUGAUCAGGGCUGCACACGUCCUACAAUGGAUCGUACAAAGGGAAGCGAACUCGCGAGAGCAAGCAAAUCCCAAAAAGCGGUCCUCAGUUCGGAUUGCAGGCUGCAACUCGCCUGCAUGAAGCCGGAAUCGCUAGUAAUCGCGGGUCAGCAUACCG